UUAUUUACUGUCCACACUACUCAAUUUACUCUUGUGCUGAUAAUAAUGAAAAUACGUACCCCUAGUGAUGUGAAGAUUAAAUGAGGUCAUGACUACAAGUGAAAUGUACAGACAGCACCUGGCAGAAGUUACAGUUCCAGUGUUUCCAGGAUGUUUCACUAAUGUGUCUAAUUUUAUGCCAAUACUCUAAUGAACUGAUCUGGAUGGAUAUGUCAAAUGAUCUUUUAUUUUUCCAUUUUAGGUAAUGUUAUGGACUACAUUGUGCCCCACCCAAAAUGUACAUAUUGAAGUCCUAAUCCCAAAGUGGCUGUACUUGAAGAUAGGGUCUUUAAGGGGGUACUUACUUGGAAGUGAGGUCAUAAGGCAGUAGCCAUAAUCCAAAAGGACUAAUGUUCCUAUAAGAAGAGGAAGAGACACAAGAGAUCUUCCUCUCAGCUCAGCAUCCAGAUGUAAAGACAGAAGACAACUCAGCAGAGAAGUAGCUGCUACAAAACACGAGAGUCUCACCAGAAAUCAACCCUGCUUGUACCUCGUCUGGACUUCAGUCACCAGAACUAUGAGAAAAUAAAUUUCCACCACUUCAGCCAUCCAGUCUCAGGAGCUGAAAGGAGCCCCCAAAGCUGAAGCAAACUGGAUUUGUGAGGUGGUGUAAGAAUGUAGCCUUCAUUGUAAGACCAUGAAGAGCUGCUGUCAUGUGGAAGAAUGGAGCAGCAUUAUCCAACUUUCAAGUGAACAAGAUGACUGUGGAUGCCAUUAAGAGUACUGGUGGUAGAUGGACCAUGAUUUUAGUGCUAUCUAAAAGGGGGGGUCCUUAAAUUUUUACCAGAAAGGGAAAAAUGGUAACUAUUUUAGGCUUUGCAGCUUGUAGGGUUUCUAAUUUAAGUAAACUACCUAUGUUGCAUGUAAACUUACAGACAAUACAUAAAUAAAUGUCUGUGACUGUAUUUUGAUAAAAUAUUUCUAAGAACAGGUAGUGGGCCUAGCUUUGGCCUGCAAGUAGUGGUCUGAUGAUCCACAGUCUAAACAUUUCAAAGUUUCUCUAACUUACCCGCAAAGACCAUCACUGAAACGAUGAUCUCAAAAUUCUGUGAUGUGUCUGGUAGACUGAUCCCCAUGACUAGCAUUUGGUAGGUACUCAAUAAAUAUUUUUGAAGAGUAAGCAUUGCAGAAAGACAUCAUGUUUGUGUCAUCAGGGAAGUAAAUUUCAUUUAUUCAACCUUUGA
Molecule: long non-coding RNA, 1223 nt
Organism: Marmota monax (woodchuck)
Lineage: Eukaryota; Metazoa; Chordata; Mammalia; Rodentia; Sciuridae
Exons: 4
Source: RefSeq, a predicted model, not a curated record